RNAcentral lists this ribosomal RNA (496 nucleotides) under uncultured bacterium. Its description in RNAcentral is "partial 16S ribosomal RNA". It matches the Rfam family "Bacterial small subunit ribosomal RNA", at positions 29 to 507 of the family's 1533-position model. The record is from RNAcentral.
AUGAACGCUGGCGGCGUGCCUAAUACAUGCAAGUCGAGCGAACAGAUGAGGGGCUUGCUCCUCUGACGUUAGCGGCGGACGGGUGAGUAACACGUGGAUAACCUACCUAUAAGACUGGGAUAACUUCGGGAAACCGGAGCUAAUACCGGAUAAUAUAUUGAACCGCAUGGUUCAAUAGUGAAAGACGGUUUUGCUGUCACUUAUAGAUGGAUCCGCGCCGCAUUAGCUAGUUGGUAAGGUAACGGCUUACCAAGGCAACGAUGCGUAGCCGACCUGAGAGGGUGAUCGGCCACACUGGAACUGAGACACGGUCCAGACUCCUACGGGAGGCAGCAGUAGGGAAUCUUCCGCAAUGGGCGAAAGCCUGACGGAGCAACGCCGCGUGAGUGAUGAAGGUCUUCGGAUCGUAAAACUCUGUUAUUAGGGAAGAACAAAUGUGUAAGUAACUAUGCACGUCUUGACGGUACCUAAUCAGAAAGCCACGGCUAACUACGUG